CUACCCUUGACAUGCCAGGAAGUCCGGAGAGAUUUGGAUGUGCCCGAAAGGGAACCUGGACACAGGUGCUGCAUGGCUGUCGUCAGCUCGUGUCGUGAGAUGUUGGGUUAAGUCCCGCAACGAGCGCAACCCUUGUCGUUAAUUGCCAUCAUUGAGUUGGGCACUUUAACGAGACUGCCGGUGACAAACCGGAGGAAGGUGGGGAUGACGUCAAGUCCUCAUGGCCCUUAUGGGUAGGGCUUCACACGUCAUACAAUGGUCGGUACAGAGGGUUGCCAACCCGCGAGGGGGAGCCAAUCCCAGAAAGCCGAUCGUAGUCCGGAUUGUAGUCUGCAACUCGACUACAUGAAGUCGGAAUCGCUAGUAAUCGCGGAUCAGCAUGCCGCGGUGAAUACGUUCCC
RNAcentral lists this ribosomal RNA (401 nucleotides) under uncultured bacterium. Its description in RNAcentral is "bacterial SSU rRNA". It matches the Rfam family "Bacterial small subunit ribosomal RNA", at positions 975 to 1375 of the family's 1533-position model. The record is from RNAcentral.